CCUACGGGGGGCAGCAGUGAGGAAUAUUGGUCAAUGGACGAGAGUCUGAACCAGCCAAGUAGCGUGAAGGAUGACUGCCCUAUGGGUUGUAAACUUCUUUUAUCUGGGAAUAAAAUGUUCCACGUUUGGGAUUUUGUAUGUACCCUAUGAAUAAGGAUCGGCUAACUCCGUGCCAGCAGCCGCGGUAAUACGUAGGAUCCGAGCGUUAUCCGGAUUUAUUGGGUUUAAAGGGAGCGUAGGUGGAUUGUUAAGUCAGUUGUGAAAGUUUGCGGCUCAACCGUAAAAUUGCAGUUGAAACUGGCAGUCUUGAGUACAGUAGAGGUGGGCGGAAUGCGUGGUGUAGCGGUGAAAUGCUUAGAUAUCACGAAGAACUCCGAUUGCGAAGGCAGUUCACUGGACUGCAACUGACACUGAGGCUCGAAAGUGUGGGUAUCAAACAGGAUUAGAUACCCGAGUAGUC
This 460-nucleotide ribosomal RNA is filed under the name uncultured bacterium. Its description in RNAcentral is "partial 16S ribosomal RNA". It matches the Rfam family "Bacterial small subunit ribosomal RNA", at positions 338 to 795 of the family's 1533-position model. The record is from RNAcentral.